Molecule: non-coding RNA, 100 nt
Organism: Acidimicrobiia bacterium BACL6 MAG-120910-bin40
Lineage: Bacteria; Bacillati; Actinomycetota; Acidimicrobiia
Source: Rfam
UUGUGCGCAUCCAAGUUGCCAGAUGCUCAAGCAGCAUAUGAAAGCGCAUCUACAUUGAUUCCAACAAUCAUGGCCGGCACCAACUUUGUUUUGCAUUCUG